AGCGAACGCUGGCGGCAGGCCUAACACAUGCAAGUCGAACGGACCCUUCGGGGUUAGUGGCGGACGGGUGAGUAACACGUGGGAACGUGCCUUUAGGUUCGGAAUAGCUCCUGGAAACGGGUGGUAAUGCCGAAUGUGCCCUUCGGGGGAAAGAUUUAUCGCCUUUGGAGCGGCCCGCGUCUGAUUAGCUAGUUGGUGAGGUAAUGGCUCACCAAGGCGACGAUCAGUAGCUGGUCUGAGAGGAUGACCAGCCACAUUGGGACUGAGACACGGCCCAAACUCCUACGGGAGGCAGCAGUGGGGAAUCUUGCGCAAUGGGCGAAAGCCUGACGCAGCCAUGCCGCGUGGAUGAUGAAGGUCUUAGGAUUGUAAAAUCCUUUCACCGGUGAAGAUAAUGACUGUAGCCGGAGAAGAAGCCCCGGCUAACUUCGUGCCAGCCGCCGCCGUAA
Molecule: ribosomal RNA, 449 nt
Filed under: uncultured bacterium
Lineage: Bacteria
Description: partial 16S ribosomal RNA
Rfam family: Bacterial small subunit ribosomal RNA
Source: RNAcentral